CUGUGUUUUUUUUCCUCCGUGUUACAAACUAUUUAAUGAUGUUUCUGUACUUUAAUUUCUCUGUUAUUUUAUUGAUCUUUGAUGGGAAGAUAUUCUGUUACGUUUGUGUUGAUAUUUUCGUUGUAAUUUUCGCUCAAAGUAUGUACAUUAGCGCCAUUAAUGUCCGCGAUCGUUAUGAAGUUAACAGGUGCUAACGAGCCUAUUGUGUCGCAGGAAUGCCGUUCGCUUCGACCCCUUGCAGUGUGCCUCAUUGUGUCCGCCCUGUCAGAUAUAAGAAGUUGGGGUUGGGGUUGAUGAUCCACAUGAUGGUGAUGGACCAGGACAGCUCUGGACCUCCUGACUGGCAGCUCUAUCCUCAACCUCCCUUCCUGUCCUUCACACAUGUGCAGGCAGAGAGGCAGUUUUCUGAAGGAUGGUUAAUGUCAGUACCAACAUGUUGUGAUGGAGGCUUCCACCUGAGCUGAACACAGAAACUUGCACACAGUGAUGGAAGCAGUCGUUCCUGUUCAGCAUUGAUAUGCCGGUAAUGGGUUUGAUGAACCACAGCAUGGUGAUGGGCAAUCAGCAUCAGGACCAGGGCCGCUCACAAGGAGAACCUCCUGCCUUGCCUCUUCAUCCUCAACCUCCAGUCUUCCUGCUCUUCACACAUGUGCAGGCACAGAGCCAGUUUUCAGAGGGAGGGCUGAUGACACCAGCAACUUCGGAUCUGAACCUGAUCAACCCAGCACCAACCACUGUGCCGCUCCUCCUCUGCCAACUGCACCACAUGGCUCCACCAUCUCAAAAAGGCACAGACACUACUCCACUUCCUGCGAAGGAUGAGAGAAGAGCCGACCUCCCCACAACGGCACUCACCACCUUCUACAGGGGUGUCAUUGAGAGCAUCCUGACCAGCAGCCUCUCUGUCUGGCAUGGCAGCCGUCAAGCUGAAGACUAGAAGGCAGUACAGAGAGUGGUGAGGACAGCAGAAAAGCUCAUAAGAUCACCCCUACCUGUUCUCCCUACUACCAUCAGGGAAGCGCUAGCCCAGCAUGCGGUGCUGCAAAAGCACACUGGGAAACGGCUUCUUUCCACAAGCCAUCAGACUCCUCAACGCACUGAAGAAAACCACAUGAAUAACCAAGGACACGGGAGAAUAUUCCAUGAACACUUCUUUCACCAUGCCACUUACACUUUACUCAUUGCACCUUGUAUACAGCAUCUUCACAUGCCGUGUGUGUGUGUGUCCACUGUGUUUGUGUAUUUAUUGUCCAUCAGUAUGUUAAUCUUAUUAUUGCACACUGUUUGGGUGUCUGUGUGAGUGUAUUUAUAGUAUGUAUCAGUCUGUAUUUAAUGCCAAUGCCUUAUUUUUAGUUAUUAGUUAAAUGCACAUUGGAGACUGGUCAAACACAAUUUCAAACUUUGUGUUAACCCUCCAUAGAUUUUUGUCAAAAAAUGGAGUCUAAUCUACUGUACUACACAGGCUAUCAACAGACCACACAGUUGAGGUGACCGUUCACACUUCAUAGUGUAAAAGUAAACAGAAAUAAAUUCACAUUUCAUUCCUGUCUCGUUCACUUCUUUCAGCAAUGUAUGUGGCCUACAUGCAGGGAAGCUGACAGGGGGGACAAAGGGGUCCGUUGACCUGGGCCCAGUGAGACGAGGGGUCCAGGAAUGGGUCCUCAUUACAUUGUAUGUAGUCUAUGUAUUGAGUGGGGGGCCCUUUCAGAUGACUUUGUCCUGGGCAAAGCCAAAGCUGUCAGUGGCCCUGAUUAUGUAUGCACAAACACUGGUUAUGAUGAUAGGAAAAGUUUUCUCUGUUUUCUGAUGGCCUUUGAAUUAAGACAGGCCAAUCUGGAACCUCUCCUGGAUAAAGUGUAAGCUUCAAUGGUGUGGUCACUCCUAAAUCAUAGACAGACAUGGAGUAUGGUAGGCCUAUGGUAAUGAAGAAAUCGUUUUUCUCCAAUAAAACAAACAAAUAGCCUAUUGCUAUUUCAAAUA
Engraulis encrasicolus (European anchovy) is the source of this 1980-nucleotide long non-coding RNA. RefSeq lists it as uncharacterized. Lineage: Eukaryota; Metazoa; Chordata; Actinopteri; Clupeiformes; Engraulidae. The transcript is spliced from 5 exons. The record is from RefSeq and is a predicted model, not a curated record.